RNAcentral lists this ribosomal RNA (465 nucleotides) under uncultured bacterium. RNAcentral describes it as "partial 16S ribosomal RNA". It matches the Rfam family "Bacterial small subunit ribosomal RNA", at positions 28 to 507 of the family's 1533-position model. The record is from RNAcentral.
GACGAACGCUGGCGGCGUGCUUAACACAUGCAAGUCGAACGGAAAGGCCCCUUUGGGGGUCCUCGAGUGGCGAACGGGUGAGUAACACGUGAGUAACCUGCCCUUGACUUCGGGAUAACUUCAGGAAACUGGGGCUAAUACCGGAUAGGAAUCCUUGCUGCAUGGUGGGGGUUGGAAAGCUUCGGCGGUUUUGGAUGGACUCGCGGCUUAUCAGCUUGUUGGUGGGGUAGUGGCUUACCAAGGCUUUGACGGGUAGCCGGCCUGAGAGGGCGACCGGCCACAUUGGGACUGAGAUACGGCCCAGACUCCUACGGGAGGCAGCAGGGGGGAAUAUUGCACAAUGGGCGGAAGCCUGAUGCAGCAACGCCGCGUGCGGGAUGACGGCCUUCGGGUUGUAAACCGCUUUCAGCAGGGGCGAAGCUUGUGGUGACGGUACCUGCAGAAGAAGCACCGGCUAACUACGUG